GACGAACGCUGGCGGCGUGCUUAACACAUGCAAGUCGAGCGGUAAGGCCCUUUCGGGGUACGACGAGCGGCGAACGGGUGAGUAACACGUGGGUGACCUGCCCUCAGCUCUGGGAGUAAGCCUGGGAAACCGGGUCUAAUACUGGAUAUGACUCCAUGACGCAUGUUGUGGGGUGGAAAGCCUUGUGCGGCUGAGGAUGGGCCCGCGGCCUAUCAGCUUGUUGGUGGGGUGANGGCCUACCAAGGCGACGACGGGUAGCCGGCCUGAGAGGGCGACCGGCCACACUGGGACUGAGACACGGCCCAGACUCCUACGGGAGGCAGCAGUGGGGAAUCUUGCGCAAUGGGCGAAAGCCUGACGUAGCGACGCCGCGUGAGGGAUGACGGCU
RNAcentral lists this ribosomal RNA (388 nucleotides) under uncultured bacterium. RNAcentral describes it as "bacterial SSU rRNA". It matches the Rfam family "Bacterial small subunit ribosomal RNA", at positions 28 to 416 of the family's 1533-position model. The record is from RNAcentral.